AGUGAACGCUGGCGGUAGGCCUAACACAUGCAAGUCGAACGGCAGCACAGUAAGAGCUUGCUCUUACGGGUGGCGAGUGGCGGACGGGUGAGGCAUACAUCGGAAUCUACUUUUUCGUGGGGGAUAACGUAGGGAAACUUACGCUAAUACCGCAUACGACCUACGGGUGAAAGCAGUGGAUCUUCGGACCUUGCGCGAUUGAAUGAGCCGAUGUCGGAUUAGCUAGUUGGCGGGGUAAAGGCCCACCAAGGCGACGAUCCGUAGCUGGUCUGAGAGGAUGAUCAGCCACACUGGAACUGAGACACGGUCCAGACUCCUACGGGAGGCAGCAGUGGGGAAUAUUGGACAAUGGGCGCAAGCCUGAUCCAGCCAUACCGCGUGGGUGAAGAAGGCCUUCGGGUUGUAAAGCCCUUUUGUUGGGAAAGAAAAGCAGCAGGUUAAUACCCCGCUGUUCCGACGGUACCCAAAGAAUAAGCACCGGCUAACUUCGUG
RNAcentral lists this ribosomal RNA (492 nucleotides) under uncultured bacterium. Its description in RNAcentral is "partial 16S ribosomal RNA". It matches the Rfam family "Bacterial small subunit ribosomal RNA", at positions 29 to 507 of the family's 1533-position model. The record is from RNAcentral.